UUAGGCAUUGCGGGAGAGACCGGGUGAAGCCCGGCGCCGUAGGAGCAAACCCUCCCCGGGAAACUCUCAGGCACCUGUACCGCAACGCGUAG
This is a regulatory RNA element of Leucobacter komagatae, 92 nucleotides long. It matches the Rfam family "Glycine riboswitch aptamer". Rfam says of the family: This family represents the bacterial glycine riboswitch. Glycine riboswitches usually consist of two metabolite-binding aptamers domains with similar structures in tandem. The record is from Rfam. NCBI's taxonomy places the organism in Bacteria, Bacillati, Actinomycetota, Actinomycetes, Micrococcales, Microbacteriaceae.